This 29-nucleotide non-coding RNA is filed under the name Rattus norvegicus (Norway rat). Lineage: Eukaryota; Metazoa; Chordata; Mammalia; Rodentia; Muridae. The record is from RNAcentral.
UUCACUUGUGUGCCAUUGGUCUUGGCCAU